ACAUCCAGAGAACUUAGCAGAGAUGCUUUGGUGCCUUCGGGAACUCUGAGACAGGUGCUGCAUGGCUGUCGUCAGCUCGUGUUGUGAAAAUGUUGGGUUAAGUCCCGNAACGAGCGCAACCCUUAUCCUUUGUUGCCAGCGGUUCGGCCGGGAACUCAAAGGAGACUGCCGGUGAUAAACCGGAGGAAGGUGGGGAUGACGUCAAGUCAUCAUGGCCCUUACGGCCAGGGCUACACACGUGCUACAAUGGCGCAUACAAAGAGAAGCGACCUCGCGAGAGCAAGCGGACCUCAUAAAGUGCGUCGUAGUCCGGAUUGGAGUCUGCAACUCGACUCCAUGAAGUCGGAAUCGCUAGUAAUCGUAGAUCAGAAUGCUACGGUGAAUACGUUCCCGGGCCUUGUACACACCGCCCGUCACACCAUGGGAGUGGGUUGCAAAAGAAGUAGGUAGCUUAACCUUCGGGAGGGCGCUUACCACUUUGUGAUUCAUGACUGGGGUGAAGUCGUAACAAGGUAGGCGUAGCGAG
This 526-nucleotide ribosomal RNA is filed under the name uncultured bacterium. RNAcentral's name for it is "bacterial SSU rRNA". It matches the Rfam family "Bacterial small subunit ribosomal RNA", at positions 984 to 1509 of the family's 1533-position model. The record is from RNAcentral.